Molecule: ribosomal RNA, 431 nt
Filed under: uncultured bacterium
Lineage: Bacteria
Description: bacterial SSU rRNA
Rfam family: Bacterial small subunit ribosomal RNA
Source: RNAcentral
GACACGCUGGCGGCAGGCCUAAUACAUGCAAGUCGAGCGGGUCCUUCGGGAUUAGCGGCGGACGGGUGAGUAACGCGUGGGAACGUGCCCUUUGGUACGGAACAACUGAGGGAAACUUCAGCUAAUACCGUAUGUGCCCUUCGGGGGAAAGAUUUAUCGCCAUUGGAGCGGCCCGCGUUGGAUUAGGUAGUUGGUGAGGUAAAGGCUCACCAAGCCUACGAUCCAUAGCUGGUCUGAGAGGAUGACCAGCCACACUGGGACUGAGACACGGCCCAGACUCCUACGGGAGGCAGCAGUAGGGAAUCUUGCGCAAUGGGCGAAAGCCUGACGCAGCCAUGCCGCGUGAAUGAUGAAGGUCUUAGGAUUGUAAAAUUCUUUCACCGGGGACGAUAAUGACGGUACCCGGAGAAGAAGCCCCGGCUAACUUCGUG